UUGAACGCUGGCGGCAGGCCUAACACAUGCAAGUCGAGCGGAUGAAGGGAGCUUGCUCCUGGAUUCAGCGGCGGACGGGUGAGUAAUGCCUAGUAAUCUGCCUGGUAGUGGGGGAUAACGUCCGGAAACGGGCGCUAAUACCGCAUACGUCCUGAGGGAGAAAGUGGGGGAUCUUCGGACCUCACGCUAUCAGAUGAGCCUAGGUCGGAUUAGCUAGUUGGUGGGGUAAAGGCCUACCAAGGCGACGAUCCGUAACUGGUCUGAGAGGAUGAUCAGUCACACUGGAACUGAGACACGGUCCAGACUCCUACGGGAGGCAGCAGUGGGGAAUAUUGGACAAUGGGCGAAAGCCUGAUCCAGCCAUGCCGCGUGUGUGAAGAAGGUCUUCGGAUUGUAAAGCACUUUAAGUUGGGAGGAAGGGCAGUAAGUUAAUACCUUGCUGUUUUGACGUUACCAACAGAAUAAGCACCGGCUAACUUCGUG
This 483-nucleotide ribosomal RNA is filed under the name uncultured bacterium. Its description in RNAcentral is "partial 16S ribosomal RNA". It matches the Rfam family "Bacterial small subunit ribosomal RNA", at positions 30 to 507 of the family's 1533-position model. The record is from RNAcentral.